This 121-nucleotide small nucleolar RNA is filed under the name Echinops telfairi (small Madagascar hedgehog). RNAcentral's name for it is "Small nucleolar RNA SNORA61 (ENSETEG00000026079.1)". The record is from RNAcentral. Lineage: Eukaryota; Metazoa; Chordata; Mammalia; Afrosoricida; Tenrecidae.
UCUCUCCAGAUACCUUAUCCCUCAGACCUAAAUAUUGGUCAGAGGGGCUAAAAAAAGAGGAAAAGUAAAACUGAAAUGGACUUGGAGUCUUUGGCAACAUAGAAGUUUAUCUCAAACAUAU